CGUAGGGUGCAAGCGUUAUCCGGAAUUAUUGGGCGUAAAGAGCUCGCAGGCGGUUUGUCGCGUCUGCUGUGAAAACUGGAGGCUCAACCUCCAGCCUGCAGUGGGUACGGGCAGACUAGAGUGCGGUAGGGGAGAUUGGAAUUCCUGGUGUAGCGAUGGAAUGCGCAGAUAUCAGGAGGAACACCGAUGGCGAAGGCAGAUCUCUGGGCCGUAACUGACGCUGAGGAGCGAAAGCAUGGGGAGCGAACAGGAUUAGAUACCCUGGUAGUCCAUGCCGUAAACGUUGGGAACUAGAUGUAGGGACCAUUCCACGGUUUCUGUGUCGCAGCUAACGCAUUAAGUUCCCCGCCUGGGGAGUACGGCCGCAAGGCUAA
This 374-nucleotide ribosomal RNA is filed under the name uncultured organism. RNAcentral's name for it is "bacterial SSU rRNA". It matches the Rfam family "Bacterial small subunit ribosomal RNA", at positions 526 to 897 of the family's 1533-position model. The record is from RNAcentral.